This is a long non-coding RNA of Halichondria panicea, 412 nucleotides long. RefSeq lists it as uncharacterized. NCBI's taxonomy places the organism in Eukaryota, Metazoa, Porifera, Demospongiae, Suberitida, Halichondriidae. The record is from RefSeq and is a predicted model, not a curated record. The transcript is spliced from 3 exons.
GCGGUUGCAUCGCGCGUCAUCCACCCACGCACAAAGUUUUUGGAGGACAACCUCCAAAAACACAGGUGUAAACAAUGUAAAAGUACACGAAGAACUGGACACCAUUUGGCAGAGUAGAACUAUGAUCCAGGAUACAGAGUGCUCUAGUAUUGUAACUGUUAGUCUACCUUAGCUUACAGAGAAGGCUGAGUGUACUAGCUGAACAAGCUGAGCUCUGUGUGAAGAUAGCUACCAUAAUUAUGUUCAAAUGAAGAGGGUGUAGGAGUGCCCGAUCAUGUCACGUCAGGCAUCGAUCAUUGCUGGCUGGGAGGAUUGUGUGGGACACGAUCACCACAAUAUUAAAUUAAUAGACUGAUGGAGACAAGAGUCAAGAUAAAAUUGACAUUGAUGUGUUAUUAUCAUGUGUCAGUAC